Molecule: small RNA, 73 nt
Filed under: Salmonella enterica subsp. enterica serovar Stanleyville
Lineage: Bacteria; Pseudomonadati; Pseudomonadota; Gammaproteobacteria; Enterobacterales; Enterobacteriaceae
Description: partial RtT sRNA
Rfam family: RtT RNA
About the family: This family represents a bacterial cis-regulatory element known as RtT RNA. The exact function of RtT is unknown although it is thought that it may be involved in changing the cellular response in relation to amino acid starvation.
Source: RNAcentral
CGUGAAGGAUAAUGUUGCGUCAGCAACGGCCCGUAGGGCAAGGCGAAGCCGAGUCAUCCUGCACGACCCACCA